Molecule: ribosomal RNA, 203 nt
Filed under: uncultured bacterium
Lineage: Bacteria
Description: partial 16S ribosomal RNA
Rfam family: Bacterial small subunit ribosomal RNA
Source: RNAcentral
GACGAACGCUGGCGGCGUGCUUAACACAUGCAAGUCGAGCGGUAAGGCCCUUUCGGGGUACGACGAGCGGCGAACGGGUGAGUAACACGUGGGUGACCUCGCCCUUACGCUCUGGGAGUAAGCCUGGGAAACGUGGGUCUAAUACCGGAUAUGACUCCAUAACGCAUGUUGGUGGGGUGGAAAGCCUUGUGCGGCUAGGGAGU